This is a long non-coding RNA of Xiphophorus couchianus (Monterrey platyfish), 748 nucleotides long. RefSeq lists it as uncharacterized. The transcript has 2 exons. NCBI's taxonomy places the organism in Eukaryota, Metazoa, Chordata, Actinopteri, Cyprinodontiformes, Poeciliidae. The record is from RefSeq and is a predicted model, not a curated record.
UUAUUAUUAUUAUUAUUUUAGUUAUUUCAAGUAGACAAAAAGCAAAAUAAGAAAUGUAAAAAUAAAACAGAUUGUCAAGCACAUUGACAUGCAAUUUUACAUAAGUUGUUCAAAAAGGAGCAGGUAGAAGAUACAAGAUUUUCAAAACAGCAAACACAGAGGCCUAAAAAAACGUGACACAUUUUGUUUGCCAAAAAUAUUUAAAGGUGAUCCAUUAUGCUAUAGUGUUGGAACUCAGCUGGGGUUGCUAGGUAACAGACAGUGCUGCUGAUUUACAUUCACAAGGAUUUUUGAAACAGCUCAUUUUCCAGGCACCAAAAAACAUUAAGUUAUUGCCAAAAACCAGCUGCUUGUUUUUUUUUCCAAGCAGCUGAGCUUUUUUAGCAGUAGAGACUCAAAUAGAAGUUAAAAAAAACAUACAAAACACUCAAUGCACCUUCUACAGAAGAUACACGCCAAAUAUUCCUUCCCUCAAAAUAUCUGUUCCAGUCAUAAAUGCUUUGAUUCCAAUUUUAUUGACUCCAUGACAUUUUUUCAAACUGUGACUGAAAACUGAAAUACAGAGAAUACUGUAAAAGUAAACCAAAAAUAAAACCAGAGAAUAAGAAAUUAAGAAAGUAACAAAUUUAUUACAGUAAAAGAAAUACCGAUUGUUGAUUCUCAUGCUUCUCUUGGUAAUUUCUAACAGAAACAGAUGAUUUCUUUUGGUUGAUAUAUCGCUAAAACAGUUUAGUUUGAGACAUCUGUG